UCCGUAGGGGUGAACCUGCGGAGGGAUCAUUACCGAGUUUACAACUCCCAAACCCCUGUGAACAUACCACUUGUUGCCUCGGCGGAUCAGCCCGCUCCCGGUAAAACGGGACGGCCCGCCAGAGGACCCCUAAACUCUGUUUCUAUAUGUAACUUCUGAGUAAAACCAUAAAUAAAUCAAAACUUUCAACAACGGAUCUCUUGGUUCUGGCAUCGAUGAAGAACGCAGCAAAAUGCGAUAAGUAAUGUGAAUUGCAGAAUUCAGUGAAUCAUCGAAUCUUUGAACGCACAUUGCGCCCGCCAGUAUUCUGGCGGGCAUGCCUGUUCGAGCGUCAUUUCAACCCUCAAGCACAGCUUGGUGUUGGGACUCGCGUUAAUUCGCGUUCCCCAAAUUGAUUGGCGGUCACGUCGAGCUUCCAUAGCGUAGUAGUAAAACCCUCGUUACUGGUAAUCGUCGCGGCCACGCCGUUAAACCCCAACUUCUGAAUGUUGACCUCGGAUCAGGUAGGAAUACCCGCUGAACUUAAGCAUAUCAAUAAGCGGAGGA
RNAcentral lists this ribosomal RNA (546 nucleotides) under Fusarium oxysporum. Its description in RNAcentral is "eukaryotic LSU rRNA". The stretch from base 181 to 334 matches the Rfam family "5.8S ribosomal RNA". Lineage: Eukaryota; Fungi; Ascomycota; Sordariomycetes; Hypocreales; Nectriaceae. The record is from RNAcentral.